RNAcentral lists this small RNA (1032 nucleotides) under Pongo abelii (Sumatran orangutan). Its description in RNAcentral is "retained intron". The record is from RNAcentral. Lineage: Eukaryota; Metazoa; Chordata; Mammalia; Primates; Hominidae.
UUAUGUUUUGAGAAUCAGCUUUUUGUCACCUAUCAUUUCAUUAAUUAUUAGUAUAUUGCAUGGAAUAAGAACUUUUGACUGUUAAAUGGCCGGGAUCUCAGUUAUGAAUGACACAGACGCAGUUUUUGCCCUUUUGGGACAGAGGAUCAAGCAGAUUUAAAUUCUAACUAGUCUUUUUAAUUUUGCUUCAGGAAAAGAUAGAAGCAAUUAACCAAGCCAUAGCCAAUGAAUAUGAAGUCCGGAGAAAGCUGCUAAUAAAACGUUUGGAUGUCACUGUACAAUCCUUUGGCUGGUCUGACAGAGCUAAGAGCCAGACAGAAAAAUUAGCCAAGGUUUACCAGCCGAAGCGUUCGGUCUUAUCCCCUAAAAGUACUAUUUCUGUUGCCCAUCUUUUGGCUGCAAGGCAGGACUUGUCAAAGAUUUUAAGGACAAGCAGCGGCUCUAUAAGAGAAAAGACUGCCUGUGCCAUCAAUAAGGUGUUGAUGGGCAGGGUGCCUGACAGAGGUGGUAGACCCAAUGAAAUCGAACCUCCACCCCCAGAGAUGCCCCCGUGGCAGAAGAGGCAAGAUGGCCCCCAGCAGCAAACAGGAGGCCGAGGAGGAGGGAGAGGUGGCUAUGAACAUUCCUCAUACGGAGGACGAGGAGGUCAUGAACAAGGAGGCGGGAGAGGUGGACGUGGUGGCUAUGACCAUGGUGGCCGAGGGGGAGGAAGAGGAAAUAAGCAUCAAGGAGGCUGGACAGAUGGAGGGAGUGGCGGAGGAGGUGGCUACCAAGAUGGUGGUUAUCGAGAUUCAGGUUUCCAGCCAGGUGGCUAUCAUGGUGGCCACAGCAGUGGUGGCUAUCAAGGCGGAGGUUAUGGUGGCUUCCAAACAUCUUCUUCAUAUACAGGAAGUGGAUACCAGGGUGGUGGCUACCAGCAGGACAAUAGAUACCAAGAUGGCGGGCACCAUGGUGAUCGUGGCGGUGGUCGUGGAGGGCGAGGUGGUCGUGGAGGCCGAGGUGGUCGCGCAGGCCAGGGAGGAGGCUGGGGAG